RNAcentral lists this long non-coding RNA (739 nucleotides) under Monodelphis domestica (gray short-tailed opossum). Its description in RNAcentral is "lncRNA (ENSMODG00000051220.1)". The record is from RNAcentral. Lineage: Eukaryota; Metazoa; Chordata; Mammalia; Didelphimorphia; Didelphidae.
CCUCAAGGCCAGUUUUGAAGUUUGGAGCCCAAGUCUUGGUUAGAAUUCUGUUGUAAUUCCCAGGUGGGGGUUGAAAAUUUUAACUGCCAUAGAGAGAUAUGAGAUUCUGAGCAGUUUCUGACUGACUGGUUUUUGGAUCUGAACUUUGGUCCAAGAAGGAGCAUCUUUCUGGCUUUACCCUGGAUUUACCCUAUGGAAACAUUUUGGGAAUAACUGAGGGGCAGUUGAUCAUUUUGACUGAAGCUCUCUGGGAUCUUAGCUGGUCCCAGAAGCAGUGUCCUUUCUGAGUUUCUCGGUUUUUCCCUGUUACAAUUUGUGAAUACCAGGACUUCAUUGAUCAUGAGAAGAAACCAGAAGAUUUUGUUUUUCUCUGGGCUCUGAAGAAACCCAGAGCCAAAGCUGAACUUCUGCUGGGCUUCAACCAAUUUGCUCUAGCUGCUCUUUUGAUAAUUUGGAGAUAAAGAUUAAGAUGAAUAUAUUAUUCAUAAGUUAUUUAUGGAAAUAGAUUAUUUAGUGCUCUACACCUGAGGGUAAAACAGAGUGGGUAAGAGCUAGUGAAGAAAUAUCCUGAUCUUCUGACUGUUUACACUGGAAGAGAAGAUACAUGGUAACAACUCUUCAAGUUCCCAAAGCAAAAACAAAACUCUUGGACAGAGAGCAACAUGUAGAGGAACAGAUUAAAAACAAUUUCUAUUCAGAAGGGUCAAGAUGGAAUAAGUUGUCAGCACAGCCAAUUUAA